AAAGAAAUAUCCAAAAGAAGCUUCUAACUUCUUAGAGAGCAAAAUCUUGUUCAU
RNAcentral lists this transfer RNA (54 nucleotides) under Micronychus sp. UPOL MT0008. Its description in RNAcentral is "partial tRNA-Ser". The record is from RNAcentral. Lineage: Eukaryota; Metazoa; Arthropoda; Insecta; Coleoptera; Lycidae.